CCCCCUCGCCGUAAGCCCAAGGUUUCCUACGCAACGUUCAUCGGCGUAGGGUGAGUCGGCCCCUAAGGCGAGGCAGAAAUGCGUAGCUGAUGGGAAGCAGGUCAAUAUUCCUGCACCAUUGUUAGAUGCGAUGGGGGGACGGAUCGCGGAAGGUUGUCCGGGUGUUGGAAGUCCCGGUCGCUGCAUUGGAGAAGGCGCUUAGGCAAAUCCGGGCGCAGGAUUCAAGGGUGUGGCGCGAGCUCCUUCGGGAGCGAAGCAAUUGGAAGUGGUUCCAAGAAAAGCCUCUAAGCUUCAGUCUAACGAUGACCGUACCGCAAACCGACACAGGUGGGCGAGAUGAGUAUUCUAAGGCGCUUGAGAGAACUCGGGAGAAGGAACUCGGCAAAUUGGUACCGUAACUUCGGGAUAAGGUACGCCCUGGUAGCUUGACUGGCCUGCGCCAGAAGGGUGAAGGGGUUGCAAUAAACUGGUGGCUGCGACUGUUUAAUAAAAACACAGCACUCUGCAAACACGAAAGUGGACGUAUAGGGUGUGACGCCUGCCCGGUGCCGGAAGAUUAAAUGAUGGGGUGCAAGCUCUUGAUUGAAGUCCCGGUAAACGGCGGCCGUAACUAUAACGGUCCUAAGGUAGCGAAAUUCCUUGUCGGGUAAGUUCCGACCUGCACGAAUGGCGUAACGAUGGCCACACUGUCUCCUCCCGAGACUCAGCGAAGUUGAAGUGUUUGUGAUGAUGCAAUCUACCCGCGGCUAGACGGAAAGACCCCAUGAACCUUUACUGUAGCUUUGCAUUGGACUUUGAACCGAUCUGUGUAGGAUAGGUGGGAGGCUAUGAAACCGGAACGCUAGUUUCGGUGGAGCCGUCCUUGAAAUACCACCCUGGUUUGUUUGAGGUUCUAACCUUGGCCCGUGAUCCGGGUCGGGGACAGUGCAUGGUAGGCAGUUUGACUGGGGCGGUCUCCUCCCAAAGCGUAACGGAGGAGUACGAAGGUACGCUAGGUACGGUCGGAAAUCGUGCUGAUAGUGCAAUGGCAUAAGCGUGCUUAACUGCGAGACCGACAAGUCGAGCAGGUGCGAAAGCAGGUCAUAGUGAUCCGGUGGUUCUGUAUGGAAGGGCCAU
RNAcentral lists this ribosomal RNA (1116 nucleotides) under Burkholderia pseudomallei 354a. RNAcentral's name for it is "bacterial LSU rRNA". It matches the Rfam family "Bacterial large subunit ribosomal RNA", at positions 1329 to 2445 of the family's 2925-position model. Lineage: Bacteria; Pseudomonadati; Pseudomonadota; Betaproteobacteria; Burkholderiales; Burkholderiaceae. The record is from RNAcentral.